This 812-nucleotide ribosomal RNA is filed under the name Listeria monocytogenes. RNAcentral describes it as "partial 23S ribosomal RNA". It matches the Rfam family "Bacterial large subunit ribosomal RNA", at positions 1572 to 2384 of the family's 2925-position model. Lineage: Bacteria; Bacillati; Bacillota; Bacilli; Caryophanales; Listeriaceae. The record is from RNAcentral.
AGGAAAUUAAGUACGGAAGUUCCUGAUUUCACGCUGUCAAGAAAAGCCUCUAGGAAGAGUAGUACUGCCCGUACCGCAAACCGACACAGGUAGAUGAGGAGAGAAUCCUAAGGUGAGCGAGAGAACUCUCGUUAAGGAACUCGGCAAAAUGACCCCGUAACUUCGGGAGAAGGGGUGCUCUAUUAGGGUGCAAGCCCGAGAGAGCCGCAGUGAAUAGGCCCAGGCGACUGUUUAGCAAAAACACAGGUCUCUGCAAAACCGUAAGGUGACGUAUAGGGGCUGACGCCUGCCCGGUGCUGGAAGGUUAAGAGGAGUGCUUAGCUUCGGCGAAGGUACGAAUUGAAGCCCCAGUAAACGGCGGCCGUAACUAUAACGGUCCUAAGGUAGCGAAAUUCCUUGUCGGGUAAGUUCCGACCCGCACGAAAGGCGCAACGAUCUGGGCACUGUCUCAACGAGAGACUCGGUGAAAUUAUAGUACCUGUGAAGAUGCAGGUUACCCGCGACAGGACGGAAAGACCCCGUGGAGCUUUACUGCAACCUGAUAUGGAAUGUUUGUACCGCUUGUACAGGAUAGGUAGGAGCCGAAGAGACGUGUGCGCUAGCAUACGAGGAGGCAAUGGUGGGAUACUACCCUGGCUGUAUGACCAUUCUAACCCGCCACGCUUAGCGCGUGGGGAGACAGUGUCAGGUGGGCAGUUUGACUGGGGCGGUCGCCUCCUAAAGAGUAACGGAGGCGCCCAAAGGUUCCCUCAGAAUGGAUGGAAAUCAUUCGCAGAGUGUAAAGGCACAAGGGAGCUUGACUGCGAGACUGA